This 497-nucleotide ribosomal RNA is filed under the name uncultured bacterium. RNAcentral describes it as "partial 16S ribosomal RNA". It matches the Rfam family "Bacterial small subunit ribosomal RNA", at positions 28 to 507 of the family's 1533-position model. The record is from RNAcentral.
GAUGAACGCUGGCGGCGUGCCUAAUACAUGCAAGUCGAGCGAACAGAUACGGAGCUUGCUCCUUGGACGUGAGCGGCGGACGGGUGAGUAACACGUGGGUAACCUACCUAUAAGACUGGGAUAACUUCGGGAAACCGGAGCUAAUACCGGAUAAUAUUUCGAGCCGCAUGGUUCGAUAGUGAAAGAUGGUUUUGCUAUCACUUAUAGAUGGACCCGCGCCGUAUUAGCUAGUUGGUAAGGUAACGGCUUACCAAGGCGACGAUACGUAGCCGACCGGAGAGGGUGAUCGACCGCACUGGAAGUGAGACACGGUCCAGACUCCUACGAGAGGCAGCAGUAGGGAAUCUUCCGCAAUGAGCGGAAGCCUGACGGAGCAGCGACGCGGGGGGGAUGAAGGUCUUCGGAUCGUAGAACUCUGUUAUUAGGGAAGAACAUACGUGGAAGUGAUUGUGCACGGCUUGACGGUAGCUAAUCAGAAAGCCACGGCUAACUACGUG